RNAcentral lists this ribosomal RNA (155 nucleotides) under Parapediastrum biradiatum. RNAcentral's name for it is "5.8S ribosomal RNA". It matches the Rfam family "5.8S ribosomal RNA". From Rfam's summary of the family: 5.8S ribosomal RNA (5.8S rRNA) is a component of the large subunit of the eukaryotic ribosome. It is transcribed by RNA polymerase I as part of the 45S precursor that also contains 18S and 28S rRNA. Functionally, it is thought that 5.8S rRNA may be involved in ribosome translocation. Lineage: Eukaryota; Viridiplantae; Chlorophyta; Chlorophyceae; Sphaeropleales; Hydrodictyaceae. The record is from RNAcentral.
CAACUCUCAACAACGGAUAUCUUGGCUCUCGCAACGAUGAAGAACGCAGCGAAAUGCGAUACGUAGUGUGAAUUGCAGAAUCCCGUGAACCAUCGAAUCUUUGAACGCAUAUUGCGCUCGAGCCUUCGGGCAAGAGCAUGUCUGUCUCAGCGUCG